This 673-nucleotide unclassified non-coding RNA is filed under the name Hevea brasiliensis (rubber tree). The record is from RNAcentral. Lineage: Eukaryota; Viridiplantae; Streptophyta; Magnoliopsida; Malpighiales; Euphorbiaceae.
CUCCUCAUAUUCUUACUGCUUCAAACCAGAGACAGAGAAAGAAAACCUGAAAAAUGGGAACCUCCAACCACUACUGUUGUCUUCUCCUGAUCUGUGCAAUACUAGCCGUUCAAGUGGCGGCAUCAACCUCAUCAACGGCAGCCGUUGAUUUCAUUCCGAUGGCACCGGGUUGCCGUGGAUCCAUCGCCGAGUGCUUGAUGAGCGGAGACGAAGAUUUCGAGAUGGAGCUGGCCAUGGACAGUGAGAUCAACCGGCGUAUCUUAGCAAUUAACAAGUAUAUAAGCUACGGUGCGCUGAGGAGGAACACUGUGCCUUGUUCGAGACGCGGCGCCUCGUAUUACAACUGCCGACCAGGAGCUCAGGCCAACCCCUACACUCGUGGGUGCAAUCGUAUCACGCGCUGCAGGAAUUAAAUUUUUUUUUAAUUUUUUAUUUGGGGUGUUUAUAAUUAUAAUUAAUUAUGUGAUUGUUAUGUGUUAAUUUUGUGCGCCCACAGAUGCUUAUGAUGGGUUUAUGGAAUAAAAUAAAAUUUGAAAAAAAAAUUAUUGGAUUAUUAAUUUAUGAUGUAUGUAAUUCGAUCUAAUGUAUUCACAAUGUUAUAUAAUAAUUAUUAUUAUUAUUUUCAUUUUAGUUUCUCUAUGAAUUAUUAAUAUAUAUUAUUUUCUUUAUAUAU